Molecule: long non-coding RNA, 542 nt
Organism: Ruditapes philippinarum (Manila clam)
Lineage: Eukaryota; Metazoa; Mollusca; Bivalvia; Venerida; Veneridae
Exons: 4
Source: RefSeq, a predicted model, not a curated record
CAAUAAAGUAGUUCCGUUUAUUUUCAUUGACAAUGCCCAUGUGACUAUAAGAUUGUUAGUGGGAUCUUUCUCGACACAGUCUUGUCAUCGCCCUUGUAACAAGGGACACCAGGGACAUCCAUUCACCAUGAAGGCUGUCGUAGUAGCGGUCCUGGCCUUGGCUUGCGUCAUUGGUGUAGUGGUGUGCCAGUUUUAUAACCCAUAUGGAGUAUAUGGAGGCGGUCAACAGCAAGAAAGCGUCGGAGGCUCGUUUUUGCCCCUGCUCGGCCUACUAUUUCUACUAAUUAUAUUGUUUGGCAACCGUUCUGGGACCACGACAAUCUUAUACGGUAACUAUUCAGAUCCCCCAGAAGGUAACGGUUAAAGAUGUCAAAGGUUUUUUACACAGAUUAUACCGGGCAAAGUAUCAAGACGACUUGCAUUUCAAUCAUAGGCAUCCGGUAUAUCAGAUGACACGCCUACUUGUUAUUCAUUCUUGCAAUGUUAUGCUUAAACUUCUCUGUUUCUUUGUAAUGAAAAUACAUCCUGCAAUUUUUGUAAAA